This 1437-nucleotide ribosomal RNA is filed under the name uncultured Shigella sp. RNAcentral describes it as "bacterial SSU rRNA". It matches the Rfam family "Bacterial small subunit ribosomal RNA". The record is from RNAcentral. Lineage: Bacteria; Pseudomonadati; Pseudomonadota; Gammaproteobacteria; Enterobacterales; Enterobacteriaceae.
AGGCCUAACACAUGCAAGUCGAACGGUAACAGGAAGCAGCUUGCUGCUUCGCUGACGAGUGGCGGACGGGUGAGUAAUGUCUGGGAAGCUGCCUGAUGGAGGGGGAUAACUACUGGAAACGGUAGCUAAUACCGCAUAAUGUCGCAAGACCAAAGAGGGGGACCUUCGGGCCUCUUGCCAUCGGAUGUGCCCAGAUGGGAUUAGCUUGUUGGUGGGGUAACGGCUCACCAAGGCGACGAUCCCUAGCUGGUCUGAGAGGAUGACCAGCCACACUGGAACUGAGACACGGUCCAGACUCCUACGGGAGGCAGCAGUGGGGAAUAUUGCACAAUGGGCGCAAGCCUGAUGCAGCCAUGCCGCGUGAAUGAAGAAGGCCUUCGGGUUGUAAAGUACUUUCAGCGGGGAGGAAGGGAGUAAAGUUAAUACCUUUGCUCAUUGACGUUACCCGCAGAAGAAGCACCGGCUAACUCCGUGCCAGCAGCCGCGGUAAUACGGAGGGUGCAAGCGUUAAUCGGAAUUACUGGGCGUAAAGCGCACGCAGGCGGUUUGUUAAGUCAGAUGUGAAAUCCCCGGGCUCAACCUGGGAACUGCAUCUGAUACUGGCAAGCUUGAGUCUCGUAGAGGGGGGUAGAAUUCCAGGUGUAGCGGUGAAAUGCGUAGAGAUCUGGAGGAAUACCGGUGGCGAAGGCGGCCCCCUGGACGAAGACUGACGCUCAGGUGCGAAAGCGUGGGGAGCAAACAGGAUUAGAUACCCUGGUAGUCCACGCCGUAAACGAUGUCGACUUGGAGGUUGUGCCCUUGAGGCGUGGCUUCCGGAGCUAACGCGUUAAGUCGACCGCCUGGGGAGUACGGCCGCAAGGUUAAAACUCAAAUGAAUUGACGGGGGCCCGCACAAGCGGUGGAGCAUGUGGUUUAAUUCGAUGCAACGCGAAGAACCUUACCUGGUCUUGACAUCCACGGAAGUUUUCAGAGAUGAGAAUGUGCCUUCGGGAACCGUGAGACAGGUGCUGCAUGGCUGUCGUCAGCUCGUGUUGUGAAAUGUUGGGUUAAGUCCCGCAACGAGCGCAACCCUUAUCCUUUGUUGCCAGCGGUCCGGCCGGGAACUCAAAGGAGACUGCCAGUGAUAAACUGGAGGAAGGUGGGGAUGACGUCAAGUCAUCAUGGCCCUUACGACCAGGGCUACACACGUGCUACAAUGGCGCAUACAAAGAGAAGCGACCUCGCGAGAGCAAGCGGACCUCAUAAAGUGCGUCGUAGUCCGGAUUGGAGUCUGCAACUCGACUCCAUGAAGUCGGAAUCGCUAGCAAUCGUGGAUCAGAAUGCCACGGUGAAUACGUUCCCGGGCCUUGUACACACCGCCCGUCACACCAUGGGAGUGGGUUGCAAAAGAAGUAGGUAGCUUAACCUUCGGGAGGGCGCUUACCACUUUGUGAUUCA